GAGUUUGAUCCUGGCUCAGAUUGAACGCUGGCGGCAUGCCUUACACAUGCAAGUCGAACGCGAAAGGGGGAGCAAUCCCCCCGGUAGAGUGGCGAACGGGUGAGUAAUAUAUCGGAACGUGUCCAGUAGCGGGGGAUAACCUCUCGAAAGAGAGGCUAAUACCGCAUACGACCUACGGGUGAAAGGGGGGGAUCGCAAGACCUCCCACUAUUGGAGCGGCCGAUGUCGGAUUAGCUAGUUGGCGGGGUAAAAGCCCACCAAGGCGACGAUCCGUAGCUGGUCUGAGAGGACGGCCAGCCACACUGGAGCUGAGACACGGUCCAGACUCCUACGGGAGGCAGCAGUGGGGAAUUUUGGACAAUGGGCGCAAGCCUGAUCCAGCCAUGCCGCGUGAGUGAAGAAGGCCUUCGGGUUGUAAAGCUCUUUCGGCGGGGACGAAAAGGUCCGUGCUAACACCACGGAUCCAUGACGGUACCCGCAGAAGAAGCACCGGCUAACUACGUGCCAGCAGCCGCGGUAAUACGUAGGGUGCAGGCGUUAAUCGGAAUUACUGGGCGUAAAGCGUGCGCAGGCGGUUUGUUAAGACAGAUGUGAAAUCCCCGGGCUUAACCUGGGAACUGCGUUUGUAACUGGCAAGCUAGAGUGUGGCAGAGGGGGGUGGAAUUCCACGUGUAGCAGUGAAAUGCGUAGAGAUGUGGAGGAACACCGAUGGCGAAGGCAGCCCCCUGGGCUAACACUGACGCUCAUGCACGAAAGCGUGGGGAGCAAACAGGAUUAGAUACCCUGGUAGUCCACGCCCUAAACUAUGUCAACUGGUUGUCGGGGAAGCAAUUCCUUGGUAACGAAGCUAACGCGUGAAGUUGACCGCCUGGGGAGUACGGCCGCAAGGUUAAAACUCAAAGGAAUUGACGGGGACCCGCACAAGCGGUGGAUUAUGUGGAUUAAUUCGAUGCAACGCGAAAAACCUUACCUACCCUCGACAUGCCAGGAACCCUCCAGAGAUGGAGGGGUGCCCGAAAGGGAACCUGGACACAGGUGCUGCAUGGCUGUCGUCAGCUCGUGUCGUGAGAUGUUGGGUUAAGUCCCGCAACGAGCGCAACCC
Molecule: ribosomal RNA, 1102 nt
Filed under: uncultured bacterium
Lineage: Bacteria
Description: bacterial SSU rRNA
Rfam family: Bacterial small subunit ribosomal RNA
Source: RNAcentral